CUAUGACCAUUGACUAAGCUAGCACUCCACCAUUCUUGUGUGGAUGAAAUCCCAGGAGACUGAAAAUAAUGCAUCGCAAUACACCAGAAAUUUUUCAAUAUCGAGAAACGGUUUUGUACAUUAAGGGGACGUUUGUUUGCCCUCAUUAAAUAGGACUGGACUAGACUGAAUUAGGUGUUAGUGUAGUUUUAUGUUUGUUAGAGGAAAGGACUAGCUUUAGUGGGAUUAAACCUCGCUCACCUCUACUACAAGGCUCGCUAGGUAGUCUUAGCAAGACCUCCCAAAUACCACCAGAUUGCUAAGGCCAUUCUUUUCUCUCGCGUUGUUCCACUCUACUCCUCGCUUUGCUCGACUCCUCAUCUUGCUUGACAACCUCGCCGGACCAUCCCAGGACCGCCGCCGCGUCCUCAUAAAUCAUGGCUUCCUCUGCCACUUUCUCUUCUUAGUUUUUUUUCAAUUUUGUUUUGAAGAUUCAUGAAAUUAUUACUGGGUUUUAAUAGAUUUUUGUUUUUGAUCGAUUUGUGGGUUUGAUUGCUUUCUCAGAUUUGAUUGGUUUCUUUGUUUUUAUUUUUGGGUUUUGAUUGCUACCCAUUUGUUUUCAAUUUAUCUGCUAUUUUUCCUUUUAUGAAUUGAUUGAUAAGUUUUUGCAAGUUGAAGUGAUUUUUUUCUUCAUUCCCUGGUUUCGUUUUGCUAGAAAUUUGAUAUCAUAUUUUGGUUUAAUCUUUAUCCAAAACUCCCCGAUUUUCUUACAGUUCCACUACGAGAUCUUGAGAAAGCCAUGCCCAUUGCAGCAAGUGUGCAGGGUCUAGGUGUUCAUCUCAGAACUGCAAGAGCCACUAAAUUUGUAGGUCUCUCUCAACUGGCAAACAAGGAAACAAAUACGAGGACCACAAAAAGUCGCCAUAAGCUGGGAAGUUGAAUCGAGUACUGCUUUUCUGGUUCUCUGGCUAAGCAUUUUCUUGCCUAUCAAUUUGAGUCGUUGAAAGUUUGAUAAUUCUCCAAGUUGCAGAAGCACCUGCAAUUCGUGAAGAAGAAGAAGAGGGCUAUGCCCUUUAAUUUUUUCAUAUAUUCAUUUUGAAAUUUGAGCCCACAAUUGCUUUCAGCGGUGGGAAGGGAGACCCUCAGCCACUUAAUAAUUGGCCGAAAGAUACUACCACAAUACGUUAGUAACUUCAACAAGCUAGGCUAAAGCAUACUGCCUUAGAGGCAGAUUGUCUGCCUUCUCAUUACCAUGUCCUUCCUAUCUCUUCCUAUUUAUGCGGUUACGGUUAAACCACAUCAAUAUUUUAUAUUUCUAUUGCUUUUUGUCUUAUUAUCUUUAUAAAAAAAAUCAAUAUAAAAUAUUGGCGUGGCUUAACCGUGACCGCACAAUAUAGGAGGGGAUAGGAAGGGCAUGGUAAUGGAAGGGCAGACAAUCUACCUCAUACCGCCUUUGUACCCACUAACCCAA
This is a long non-coding RNA of Pyrus x bretschneideri (Chinese white pear), 1450 nucleotides long. RefSeq lists it as uncharacterized. The record is from RefSeq and is a predicted model, not a curated record. The transcript is spliced from 4 exons. Lineage: Eukaryota; Viridiplantae; Streptophyta; Magnoliopsida; Rosales; Rosaceae.